RNAcentral lists this ribosomal RNA (596 nucleotides) under uncultured Basidiomycota. RNAcentral's name for it is "eukaryotic LSU rRNA". The stretch from base 199 to 352 matches the Rfam family "5.8S ribosomal RNA". The record is from RNAcentral. Lineage: Eukaryota; Fungi; Basidiomycota.
CAUUAACGUAUCUUCCUCGGGGUGCGAGGGUGGCCUGGCUCCGGCAAAUUGCCGUGCAGCGGGUCCCCUCCCCUCGAACACUACAAACCCACUGUGCACCUUUCGCGGUGGAGGGUGCGGUGCAAGCCCACCCGAAGCCGCGGUCUCACAGACUCGUCUCAGAAUGUCUUGCGGACUCGUUCCGCCCAUAAAUGUAACAACUUUCAACAACGGAUCUCUUGGCUCUCGCAUCGAUGAAGAACGCAGCGAAAUGCGAUAAGUAAUGUGAAUUGCAGAAUUCAGUGAAUCAUCGAAUCUUUGAACGCACCUUGCGCUCCUUGGUAUUCCGAGGAGCAUGCCUGUUUGAGUGUCUUGAAGUCAUCAAAACCCCUCCUUGCUUUUUUGCAGGGCUGGGCUUUUGGAGUUUGAGGGUGUUGCUGCCGAAGGGCGGCUCCCUCCAAAUGCUUCGGUUGGGCCUGCGGGUCGAACUCGACUGGGCGUUGUACCAUCCUCGCUCGACCGAGAUGUUCCCCUUUCUGUGCCUCGACCUCGACCGCCUGUGGAGCGACGGUCAACAAGCCAUUUGAAAUCUGACCUCAAAUCAGGUAGGACUACCC